UCACCACCGAGCAGAUUCAAAAGUUCUUGGAUGAGAACAAAAAUUUGAUUCUUGCCAUACUGGAAAACCAGAAUCUUGGAAAACUCUCAGAGUGUGCCCAGUAUCAAGCCAUGCUUCAGAAGAAUUUAAUGUAUUUAGCUGCUAUCGCUGAUGCCCAACCACAACAAUCAGCAGCAACCUCACAGGCUCAAUCUACUCCUCAACUUGGAAACCAGAUGCAGCAAACUCAGGCUGCUCUGCAACAGCAACAGCAACAAGGUGUCGCUAUUUCCAAACUGCCUUUCCAGCUCAAUGCCCUUCCGACCCAGGAGCAGCAACAGCAAAUGCUCCAGUUUCAGCAGCAGCAACAAUUCCAAGGCCAAUAUGGUUUUGGACCUACUGCCAACAAUGCAAUGCGUCAACUUAUGCAACCUGGACUAAACAGCUCAGGAACUAUGGAUGUACGAGGAAAUAAGCAAGGCAG
Molecule: unclassified non-coding RNA, 463 nt
Filed under: Hevea brasiliensis (rubber tree)
Lineage: Eukaryota; Viridiplantae; Streptophyta; Magnoliopsida; Malpighiales; Euphorbiaceae
Source: RNAcentral